UUCUUAUAGAAAUAAUUAUAAGUAAAACCUGCUCAAUGAGAAAUUUAAAUAGCCGCAGAUCACUCUGUGCUAAGGUAGCAUAAUCAUUUGUCUUAUAAUUAAAGACUAGUAUGAAAGGUAUUACGUUUAAUAUUCUAUUUAAAAUUUAAAUAAUUAAAUUUUACUAAAUAUAAAAAUAUAUUUAUAUAUAAAAAAGACGACAAGACCCUAUCGAACUUAACUAAUGUUAAACUGGGACAGUUUAUUAAUAAAAUUUUAAUUUAAUUUAAUAAAAAAUCCAUAAAAUAUGAAACCUAAUCAAGUUACCGUAGGGAUAACAGCGCAAUAUAUUUUAAAAGCUCUUAUUUUAAAAUAAGAUUACGACCUCGAUGUUGAAUUAAUAAAUCUAAUAAGUGCAACAACUUAUUAAGAAGGUCUGUUCGACCUUUAAUAUAUUACA
RNAcentral lists this ribosomal RNA (439 nucleotides) under Zearchaea sp. LB-2014a. RNAcentral describes it as "partial 16S ribosomal RNA". The record is from RNAcentral. Lineage: Eukaryota; Metazoa; Arthropoda; Arachnida; Araneae; Mecysmaucheniidae.